GCCGCUUUAGCUCAGUUGGUAGAGCACAUCAUUCGUAAUGAUGGGGUCACGUGUUCGAGUCACGUAAGCGGCA
Transfer RNA from Erythrobacter sp. YT30, 73 nucleotides. It matches the Rfam family "tRNA". From Rfam's summary of the family: Transfer RNA (tRNA) molecules are approximately 80 nucleotides in length. Their secondary structure includes four short double-helical elements and three loops (D, anti-codon, and T loops). The record is from Rfam. NCBI's taxonomy places the organism in Bacteria, Pseudomonadati, Pseudomonadota, Alphaproteobacteria, Sphingomonadales, Erythrobacteraceae.